AUUGAACGCUGGCGGCAUGCUUUACACAUGCAAGUCGAACGGCAGCACGGGGGCAACCCUGGUGGCGAGUGGCGAACGGGUGAGUAAUAUAUCGGAACAUGUCCGGAAGUGGGGGAUAACGUAGCGAAAGUUACGCUAAUACCGCAUAUGCCCGGAGGGGGAAAGGGGGGGAUCGCAAGACCUCUCGCUUUCGGAGUGGCCGAUAUCAGAUUAGCCAGUUGGUGGGGUAAAGGCCUACCAAGGCAACGAUCUGUAGCUGGUCUGAGAGGACGACCAGCCACACUGGGACUGAGACACGGCCCAGACUCCUACGGGAGGCAGCAGUGGGGAAUUUUGGACAAUGGGGGCAACCCUGAUCCAGCCAUGCCGCGUGAGUGAAGAAGGCCUUCGGGUUGUAAAGCUCUUUCGGACAGAAAGAAAUCGUGCAGAAUAAUACUCUGUAUGGAUGACGGUACUGUAGGAAGAAGCACCGGCUAACUACGUGCCAGCAGCCGCGGUAA
Molecule: ribosomal RNA, 500 nt
Filed under: uncultured bacterium
Lineage: Bacteria
Description: partial 16S ribosomal RNA
Rfam family: Bacterial small subunit ribosomal RNA
Source: RNAcentral